RNAcentral lists this long non-coding RNA (14767 nucleotides) under Gallus gallus (chicken). Lineage: Eukaryota; Metazoa; Chordata; Aves; Galliformes; Phasianidae. The record is from RNAcentral.
GCCCAAUUGCUGCAUCUUUUGCAAAGCAGUGCUUGUAUGGAAAUAAUACAAAUGACUGUACAUGGGAGGUGAGUGGAAGAGCUUUCCAUAGUACUGGGAAUUUAAGCUGAUUCAGAUACUUCAAAAUCUAUGGGCUAUAUAAAGCUUUUCACUAAGGGACUAUUGAGAGAAACCAUUGGAAAACUCAUUUGAGAGUUUAGCAUAUGAAACUAGAAGUUCAAAUAUAUGGUGUGACACUGUGUUAUUUGUUCAAUAAACCAAUAUUUUAUGGGCAUUCUUUAUACAGAGACUGAAAUGAAGAAAAUUGGAGCUACUUGAAGGUAAAGAGAAACGGUAGAAAUAGAGAUACAAUAGAGGGCUAUUUAUGAAGUGUCCCAGGCAGCACCAUCUACACUAACAGUGAAGGAAAUGUUCUCUAUUGAACUAAACACUGUCUGUUUACAAUAAUAAUAAUAAUAAAUCUAUACAGGGACAGCUUUUUAUUUUAUUUGAUUAUUUUUUAUUGUUUUUGUUACUUUACCAAAUACGACUCCUCCAAGUCACCUUGAAGUAGAAAACUUGGGAAAAAAAAUGGCAAAGAAGUAUGGCUGGAGAUUACACAGUGGCAAUAAACCAUUCCGAUCCAAGAGCAUGACAGCAGUUGUGUUUGUAUACCAGUAGUAGGAACUGGGGUUCUGCUGUGUCCUGCCUACAUCAGUGUUACCUGCUGGGAACCAGGUGCUUUGAGACACCUCAUGAGUUACUCUUAUUUAUUCAUCUUUAUUGUCAACGUUUUUAUUUGCUCAUGCUCCAAUCUCAACCUGUGUACCAAGCAUUGAGUCAGUGUGUAAGUUAAUUGUGAAACAGAUAUAUUGACUUAAAUGUCCUACAAAUUCAGUGUCCAGUCUGUAGCAUGAACCAUGAAGAACAGAACAAACUCUGUGCAAGAGAAGUUAACUGUGAAUUUUCUACUAUUCUGAAUCCAUAUUUCAAAAACUGUAGCUUGUAGGUCUAAUAUUAGACCUAUAUAAUAAUACAUACUAAUAUUUCAGUGCAAUAUUAUUAGCAUAGUAUAACUUACAUAUAAAUUAUGGUAUAGUAUGACAUAUAGAAGUAUAAAGAAAUACAUAAAAAAUGUGUUAGAUGCUGUCUUUACCAUAUAAAAAUGUAUUAGAGCUCACACUUCAGUUCCUAACAAAUAAUGCAAUGAAAAGGAAUGGAAAUUGUUCUUGACUAGGACCAUCUGGUUCCUUAUCACAGAUAAAUGAUUGCUACAUAAUAGUAUGUUGUUUCAUUGAGGUAGAAAAUACAUGAAAUGUUUUGAGAUGGUAAAAUGUUUGAACAUAAUAAAUGAGCCAGAAGUAAAAUUAAAUCUGCAGUAUGCAUUUAUUUUCAUGGCUUAUGUCAACAAUGUGUAUAUGAAGUUAAUAUUAGCUCAUUUUCUUCAGAAAAUCAUUGCAGGUGUUUGUUUGUUUGGUUUUUUUUCUUUACCUCUUCCAACAGGAAUCAUGUUCUGUAGCUUUGAGAAACUGAGAAACAUCCCCCCUAAAAACAAUUGACCAGUUACUAUUCCCAAUAGAGGAGUGACUUCAAAAACACUAGCUUUUUAAGGAUUAUUCAUCUUUUCUAAAUUAAACUAAAUUAAUUGAUUAUCAGGACAAGUGUAUCUAGUUAUUCUUGGGCCAGAAUUGCAUUAUAGCUUAAAUCAGUCUUUGCUGCUCCUUGAUGCUUCUCCUAGAGAUAGUGGCUGCUCAUAAUAUGAUGCCCUUCUGCUUUUAUUUGCUCUUGUAAACACAGCAGUUUCCUCAGGGCUCCAUUCCUCGCAUAGGCAGCCCUGUGCUUCUGAGCACUCUGACAGUAAUUUGCUUGCAGUACUUAUGUGUGGGGUUUAAAGAUCUCAAACAGGAUUGAUAUUUUUAUCACGUUGCUGUAUCAGUACCUUCCACAGCAGUAAUGAUACCUAUCAUUACUGGCUGAUACAUGAACCCCAUCGUACACCUGAAAAGCAGCUUUAACUUGCUGCUGCUUUCAAAUCUCACCUGAACAGCUUAUUUGCUUUCAUAAUGACCAAAGUUAGAAUUGUUACAUGUUAUAAAAGCCGUCUUAAAGUACAUUUAGGAAGUUAGAAUGCUAGAAGUAAAUGCUUCAGUGUUUCUGGCCUGCUGUUGUUUUCGCAGUUGCUUGCUCCAGCUACUUAUGCAAUGAGUAUCAACCUCUCAGCACCACCAUUUUGAUGAUGCUGUCAGUACGUGCAGAAAUACACAUCACUUUGCAAGCCCUCAGCGCUACCUCGGGGGUAGAAUUAUUAUAAAACGACAGUAAUUUCUGUUUCUCAGAAACGGUACAUUUGUCUAGAAAUAGCACCUCAGGCAUAAGGAAUGUCGCAGAAUAAGACAUGGAACAGGUUUUGUUUUCCUCUGGAGUCAGUUUGGAUGUGGAGGCAGAAAUAUGUUUAUGUGUUUUUUGUUUGUUUGUUUGUUUGUUUUUAUUUUGUCCUGAGAACACUGACAGCUUUCCAUGCUUUGAGGAAAGUACAUUUUCUUAUAAAAUUAGCUUAACUAAGAGUAGUGACAGUGGUAAGAAUAACAUAUGCACACAAGCAUAGUAUCAUAGAAUAGCUUGUGUUGGAAGGGACCGCAAGGAUCAUCAAGUUCCUGCCCCCUGCCACAGACAGGGCCACCAACCUUCAGCGUAAGUAAUGUACAGAAUGGAAAUUUAUAGAGACCUUCUGAGAACUUAAGACGAGGAAUCACUAAUGUGUAGAAAUAUUAACGCGAGACGCGGUAGGAGACUACGCUCAUUGUCCCUCUGGAAAUGUAGUGGUAGGUGACACCUAGUGGCCUUCAGCAUUCAUUACAGCAGUGUGCCACAAAGCUUUUCAGUAGUGGAGUUGAAUUGAAAGGGGAAACAAUAUUCCUGGAGCUGCUGAAAGUGAUUUUUUAUUGCUCUUCUUAAAGACAUGAAAAUUUUGCAUCAUACAAGAGUUCUUUCUUUUCUUCUAUUCAAAAUGAGCAUCAUGAGGGUGGAAAGAGGGAGGAAAAGCCUUUCAGCUUCUAUGAUUUUCUGCUGGAUAUUUCUUUGAUACUCCUUGAGGAUGCAGGAUUUAGAAUUAUAAAAACACAAUUUGGGGCUAUUUUUAAUGCUAAAAAAUUCAGGUUUGUGUUUCAGUGAGAAUUCGUGUACCAAGCUAUGUUAAUGAAAAAAAAUAGCAAAGCAGUGUUUUCUGACAAGGAACAGAGUAUUUCUUGCAGUUAGCUAUUAGCAUGGUCCUUCUCCUGGCCAAGUGUCAUCACUGAAAAUGAUACAAAAUUAAUUAUGUUAAGCUUCACCUCACCAAACAACUCAGUUAUUCUUCUGUAUUAGUCUAAUCAAGUGUUUGGGAGGUUCUUUUGGGUCUCACAUUUAUUGGGAAGCUGAAGCUUGUCUUUACUGAUGCUUCCAAAUGCCAGGAAAGAAAAAUAUGAACAUUCCUUUGCUUCUUUUUGUGGUUAGACAAGGGUUAAGGAAAGACGUAUCUUAUAGUCAAGUUUUGUUCCCUAAUAAAAGUACAUUUUAGUUCUUAGCCUUACUGAAGAAAAUGAAAAUAAUAAAAUUCUACAAGCACUAUUUUCAGCCUCGGGUGCUUAUCAGAAUGCUUCUGCUUGGCCAACAGCUUAGUGGAUACAUAAUGGUUUUAUCAGAUGACUUGUGUUCAUGUUGGAAAUUCUGCCGUUUAGGGCUGUUGCUCCACUUUUUUAUUUAUUUUCAAUCUAACUCGGGAUACGUUCAUAAAUUUCCUUAUGGGUCACAUUGAAGAAUUUAUCAUAAACUCUUUGGAGUCUGAUCUUAAAGUAAGCAAGUGUUGUUCCAGUAAGUUUUUUGUUGAUUUAGUGAUAAAUCUGCUUCUUACCAUGUUAGACAUUAAAGCACAGUCAUCUCAGUGAGUUAUAACAUCUACAAGGAUAUUUGUGGGGAUGCUGGAUCAGGAAGGUUUGUCCUAGUGAGAGGCAGCUGAGGUACUGCUGUGCUUUUCAGACCUUUUCUACCUCUGGAGAAACAUCAUUUAAUAAUCCAUUUCCCCUGAAAGUAGUGGUGGUUGAUGUUCCUCUAUGGCAGAUGUGCUCAAUUGGCCAGAAUCCAUUUUAAUCUCUCGUUUACUGGUUCUGAUAAUGAAGUCUUGACCUCAGAGCAGAUGGGGUUUGCAAAGCAGUUCUGCUUACCACUAGCAGAAGCUACGGGCCAAUUUGUGCCUGAGAGUGUGGCUUUUACAUGCAGUGGAGUGGCAGAUUGGGUUGGGUGCUGUAGGAUGCUGAAGCCGGAAUUACUCUUAGACUUACAUUUAUAAACAUCACAGCAAGAUGAUGUCUGGACUAAUCUUUGCCGUAGUCUUACUGUGUAUCCUUCUAGCUACUACAUUCAGUACAUAUGUGAUCUUCCAAAAAUGCUUAAAACUGUUUAGAUGAGUUGACAACACAAGAAGGCAGUCCAUGUUGCCAUGCUUAAGUUUCUGUUUAUGUAGCUAUUACAGGAGUUCUACAUCUUUAGUAGAAUGAGUACUAACAAAUGCAUUAUUUGGAUCGCUGUGCAAAUGGUAAAUGUGGAAGGUAGUAUUGUUUGCACAUCUGUAUCUCACACUCAAGUUUCUUGAUAGGACUGAUUUAAAUGCUUCUCUGAAAAUAAUGAAGUAAUUCUGAUGUAGUAUACAGAAGGGAAUUUGAUAUAGGCAUUGAUCUGCAUUUAUUAAAUUGAGCUAAAUUUACUCUGAAGGAGCUUGUGUUAUCUUAAUCAAAAUCCAAACCAGACAUUGUUACAUAUCCGAGAGUAAACCCCACUGAACAUACAGACAGGGUGUGUCCCAGAGCAACUUCAGUGAUGCUAUCUCUUGUGCCAUACGUGAUAUCCAUCCCCAGGAGCCAGUGCUGCUGUGCUGGUACACCACAGAACUGGGUUGGUACUCAGCUCAGAGAUACAGCCACAUCACAGAUACAGUUUGUUCAGUCUCCAAGUCAACAGAGUGGCUGGUGUGAGUGCAGAGCAGAUGGGCUGCUUUGGGAUUAUAAUAAUACCUUUGGACGCUUGUGGAGGCUGAUUAUUUUACAUUUGGUGGCACAAAAGCUUUCAAGAAGAGCACCGAGGGGAUGGAAGGUUCAGAAUACCAAUUUCUGCUCCAAAUGGCCUUUUGAUAGCAUCUACUUUCCCCCAUAAGAGGAGUCCAACGUAAGUUAAAAGCUUGGAACUUCUUGACAAAUACCCUAUAUGGAACAUAGUUAAUACCAAACAUACCUAGAAUGGUUUGCAUUAGAAGAGACCUUAAAGCCCAUUCAGUUCUACCCUCUCUGCCAUGGUUGUCCAAAGCCUGGCUUUGAGCACCUCCAAGAAUAGAGCUUCCAUAACUUCUCUAGGCAGCCUAUUCAGAGCCUCAGCACCAUUAUAAAAAAUGUAUUCCCUAUGUCUGAUAAAAAAUGAUACCACUUUCAAAUUACUACUGUUGCACAGUUUCUGGAACUUACCUUAUCUCUCCUGAAAAAGAGGUAGCUAUGGACAUUAUCUUUUUUAUGAUGUGGCUGACCUGGUCAUUGUUCCAUACUUAAAGCAGUCACAUAUACUGCACUGGCAUAUAGAUGUCUUCAUCUCAGUGCCAUAUUGUAUUUGAGUGGGUGUUUGUAUGUGUGCCAUAUACACAACUUAAACAGGAACAAGUUUGGUCUUGGACACCAGGUGCAGAAAGUGGCCUCCAAUCUAAAAUCAUGAGGCUGUGGUCAAUCUUCACAACCCUUCCUAAAUUCGACAACGCCAUCUUCAUUUUCUACUUGAGUUUUUUAUGUGGUCUUAGUGCCACAUUACCAUGCAUGAGACACUGCAAACCCAUGAGGUCACUCCAGCAGCCCUAAGACCUGAGCAUCUUAAAUUCUGAACUCUCCGUAUGCUGACUCAGCUGUUGCUGCCAGAGUAAAUCUGAGCCUAAUGUUGAGGUUCCUGAUUAUUGAGUGUGUGCUAAGGGCUGACUUUCCCUGAGUCAGCAUUUCAGGGCUCAAUGCAUAGUGGAUGUAUAUAAAAGCAGUAGGUGGAAACGUGAGUUCUGCUGGCCCACCAGGCUCCAGAAGCCUCAAUAUUAACAGAAUAACUAGAGAAAAUGUUUCUUCCGCUUGUACUGGCUGUGAUGCCUGGAGUGAAAAUAAAUUAAAGACUUUGUUACAAUGUGAAAGACUUUCAAAAAUUAAUCUUACAGCAGCCCGCAUAGCACUGAGGGCUUAAAUACUUUAUUGACCAAAUUGGUGUUCACUCAGUUGCAAAACCCAGGAAGGACUUGCAUCAAUUUAUCUUUCCCAUGUAGUCAUAAAUCCUUAGGCUGGGCUGGCUCUUUGAGCAGUAAGAUUAGGCUGAUGAUCUGUGUUUACUUUUGUUUGAUGCAAGGGAGAUGAAAAACAGGUUGGGAUGUUCUGUGAAACCCGAGGUGGUCAGAAGUGCAAUCUUUGUUUUGUUAUUCAGGUAAUAGCUACAAUUUUGCCGUGUGCUGUACAUUUUCUAAAAUAAACUACGGAGUUCAAAGUUAAAAUCUAUCUACGUAAGAAGCUCCAAUCUGUGGGCCACGGUGACCAUUGUUUUCCACUUUGAUGCAGGAUGCUGGAGCACACUCUGCAGAAAUCCCAGUAGAUGGAGUAGGGCGGCAGCAGUGCUGUAUUGGUUGAGCCACAGGGCAAAAGCGCAUGAUUAGCUGUCAAAGGAAGGAAAAGAGGGGAGAGAGGAGAACACAAAGUAAAUAUAGAAGCAAAGAAGAUACUUGAAAAAAAUUGUAUUCAUUUUAUAGGAGGUUAGCCAACUAGGAGGUGUAUAGUAGUACUGCAGAAAAACAGAAUGAAAACAGAUGUUGGAAUUUAGUUUUAAGCCCUAAGUAUGUUUAAUUUUUUUCUUCAACCUUUAUUUAUCUGUGUUUUAAUGAAUCACAGUAUCAUAGGGGUUGGAAGGGACCUCUGGAGAUCCCCUCCUGCUAAUGCAGAUUCACUACAGCAAGUUGCACAGGAAAGCACCCGAGUGGGUUUGAGUAUCUCCAGAGAAGGACAUUCCAGAAUCUUUCUGGGUGGCCUGUUCCAGUGCUCUGUAACUCUCAAAGUAAAUAAAUUUUUCCUCAUGGUCAUAUGGAACUUCCUUUAUGCAGACCUCAGGGACAUCGGCUUUCCUCCAGCCCUCAAGCACCUCUCCCAUUCUCCACUAUCUUUCAAAAAUGAUAGAGGGUGGUUUGGCAGCCUCUUUUGCCAGCUCUGUUGGAUGCAUCCCGUAAAAGCCCAUAGGUUUGCAUGCAUUGAUUUUGCCUAGAUGAUCUCUGACCAGUUCCUCAUCAACUAAGUGAAAGUCUUCCUUUCCCUAGAUUCUCCCUCUUAUUUCCAGGCUCUAGGUCUCUCCAAGGGCAGUCCUAGUAGUAAAGACUGAAACAAAGAAGGGUCUCAGUAACUCCACCUUCUCAGUUGUCCUCUAUUGCCAGGGCACCCACUUCAUUCUUCAGCUGGCCCACAUUUCCCUAGUCAUCCUUUUGCUACUGAAUCAUAGAAUGGCUUGGGUUGGAAAGAACCCCCAGGAUCAUAAAGUUCCUAUCUCCCUGCUACAGGCAGGGCCACCAACUUCCAGACAUACUCAAAUAAGCUUUUCUUUUUGUCCUUCUCCUCCGUCAGCAGAUUUAAUUCCAAGUGAGUCUUAGCCUUCCUUGUGGCAUCCCUGCAUGCCCUGACAAUGUUUCUACAGUCCUCUCACAUGGCCAGACUCCCUUUCCACACUUUUGCAUAUAUUUCCUCUGUUUUCAUCAUAAUUGGUAGUAAAAACAAGUUUUUUUCUUUAUUAAAAAAUACAUUUCUGUCUUGAGAUUCUUACUUAAAGCUGAAGUAUUCUCAGUAAUUCAUUUAAGUCAGAAAUAUACUGCAAUCACAGUCAUCAUAAUUUAAUUUCAGUAGAGAUAAUUUCACUUUGACUACUCCAGAAAUACUUAAAUUACCUUAUGAGGAUAAGCUUUACUUUUAUUGCUCUUUUCUGUUGUUUUGUUGUGUUUUUAAUUUAUUUUCUUGAUGAUGAAAGAUAAACUAAGCUGCUUGGUGGUGAUAGUUCCACUGCUGCUGUCAUAUAGUCUUAUAAAAUAAUAUUGUCUCACUUCUUACUUGUAAAUGAACCCUAACUAUAAAAUAGUUUAACAGUGAAAGUAGUAAACUCCAUUUCAGAGUUUGUCUUCUUGAUCAUUUUGGAAUAUUAGGAAAAUGCCCCCCCAAAAUGUAUUUGCUCACUGCUGCAUUAUCAAUAUGAAAAUGAAGUGGGAUAAAUCAGCAGGAAGUUGUAACUGAUUUUAAGUAAGUUAUACUUUUAACUUACAAAUUAUGAAAUAAUGUAUCUUCCUCCAGCAAUAAAAUUAUUACUCUUAAAAUAAGAAAUACUUCAAGUCCCAUAAAAAUCAGUGAGACUCUUUUCAGAUGUGGGUAGGGUUUGGUGAUACUGCAUCUCAUUUCCUUUAGAGCAUCACAAAUGACAUUGAUUCCAGGAGUGCUCUGACUUUUGCCACUGAAGAUACAUGUGUUAAUAAAAAAGCAGCCGGGGCCGUGCUGGUAAUGCACUGUGGUUUACAUACAAAUUUUGUUUAAAGGAGAGUUCCUUGUUACUCCUUCUCUGAUAAUAGGUGUGAUUCCUGAAUUUCAUCUGUCCUCAGUUGCUGAUUUUCACCCUCACGCUGUGAGAAGCUGCCCUCCCUUUGCACUACACAGUGAUAUCAUUUAAAUUAAAUUUGAAUUUAAAAAAGUCGAUUAAUGAAGAUAGCUAAAUAAAAAAUAAAAAAAAUAAAAAAAUAGGAACCUUUUCCAAAAUUAGAGAGAUUUUCUUACGAAGUAUUCUGAAGCUAAACAUAUUUAUGAGUCUCAGUUCCCCAGUGUGCCGUCUGAACUUUUUACGUCUCUUAAAUUAUGCAUCUACAGCAGUCUAUCUUAAAACCGGAGAAAUGAUCAGAUGUAGGAAAUAAAAGUUUGGAGGAGGCAAAGAAAAAGUCACUCUGAUGAGUUUUGAGACGGUGACCUUCUGUUGCAGCAUCUCUGCCAGAGCCCUCUUGCAAAGCACUGGUACAGAGGCUCCUAAAUGGCAGUCUCUGGGGUGAAUCCCAGAAUAAGGCAGGAAGGGUGAUCUAUGAGCAGAGCCUGACAGCAUUGCUGCCAGGAGUCACUGGGCAUGAAAGUUCUGAAUGUAUGGAGGCAACAAAAAAGACAAGUUCAAAAUUAUGGAUAUUCUGCCUCAUUUUGAGAGGGGAGUGGAAUAGGAUGAGAAAAUAAUAUAAUGAGGAAUUACGCGUGUUUUCAUGAUGCUUGCCCUCAGUGAGAUAGAAUGGUUGUUCAUAAGGAUCUCUAAGUGUUCUCUUGUAUGGAAUAAAAAAGCAGAAGAGUAGACACUGCACUAUUGGAACUUUGGUGUCUGGGAACAGCCUUGAAAGUGUUAAUGAAUCUCUAAUUAGAAGCAGGACUUUGGUGAUAUGUGAAUCAUAUGCUGAGAAAAGCAGAUCUGAGCAAAUGAAAUGCCUCCAAAUAUGAAGGACUGGGAGCUAUACAUGGAACUUGAGUGCAGGAUGACUUCAUCUCGACAUCUACCAUGCAAUAAAAGUAGUAGGUUGGGGAAAAAGAAAAAAAAACAACCCACAGGUGAAACUUCGUUAUGAAAGCAAGUAAGUCAUGAAAAUACAAAGCAAAGUUAGGUGCCACUGUAUGUGUUUCAGAGAGAACCCAGCACAGAGAUAGACUGGAUAACUCAGUCUCUGCUUCCCAUUUAGUUGUUCCUGGAAGCAUAAUGAGACAGAGAAUAAGUAGGUGGAAAGGGUCUCUGAAGGUCUCUGGUCUGACCCUUUGUCAUCUUGGGUCAGGGUGCUCAGGGUCUUAUCUGGGCAAGUUUUGAAUGCCCUUGGGGAUGAAAAUUCAAGAAGAAGAGAGAAAGAGCAAUACCAGAAUGACAAAAAUAGAGAAAAUAGAAGUUAUAAAAAGAAAACAGAACCAGUUAAGAGCUAAUGAGUUUGUGCUGGCAGCCUAAUACAGGAAAGGAGACAAGAAAGUGAGAUGGAGUUGAUGCCAUUGAAAAGUCAUAUACAUUGGGAAAAACAGCAGCUGAGACUGCAGUGAGCCAGAAACCACAUGCAGCACCUGGACAUCAAGGGUUCCAGAGCAGAUGAGCCAGAGUAUAGGAGAAACAUACAGAAGUAUGGUACUACAGUAGUAACAGAGGGGGUGAUGUUAGAGCCAGGCACGCAUGGAAAAGCUUGGUGCAAGUAAGUCAAAUAAAGCUGCAUAGAAGCAAUAGGGAGAUCUGCUAGGUGGAGAAAAAUCAUCAAAGUGAAGUCAAGUCCCUUCCAACCAUGAAAAAAUAAACCAGAAUUAAUUCUUACUUGAGAACCACUUGAGUGCAUUUGAAAACCAAUGAAUUGAAGUAUGAUGGCAGUCAAUAACAUAUCUUUGUGCUGAUAACCCCAUAACCUCGCAGGUCAGGAAAUGCUUGCAUGGAAGGAAUAUUAACAGUAGAAAUGGAUUACAUCAGGUGCGGCAACAUACACAGGGCUACGGGGAAUGAACAUGAGUUUCAAGAUAUAGAUAACAGAUAAAAAAGGUCAUUGGGAUAUAUACAUAAUUGCAAUUUAGCUGUAGAUGCAGCAUUUCAUGGUGCAUUAUAUAUUCUCAGCAUUUACGCCAGUGUUGAUGUUGACAGUCUAGUUGUAGAAGCGCAAAAUUACCCAGCACAAGGUGUUCAAUGAAUAAAUGAACAAUAACACAUGAUUUACAGUAAAAUAGGAAAAACAAAAUUUGCAGUCUAUUGCUAUAAAGUGUAGACCUUGCAUCUGUCCAGCAAAGCUCACAUUUGAUGUCCGUGAAGUGGCAGAACCAACUGUGGCAUACUGAAGCAGCCCGGGGUUCAUAGCCAGCAUUUUCAGUUGGAGCAUAUGUUUUCAGCACCUUUCUUCUGAUUUAAUUUUUAAUUUUUUUUAAAUUUCCAUUUUCAGACAGCUUUAGUUAUUUGGUACUGUUGAGGUGCUCUGCAUUCCCAGAAAUCAGAGGCAGCUUGCCUUAAACUCUACAAUCAAGCAUUUGAAGCAUCUUGGUAUUCAUAUAUUCCUUUUGGCCUAUGUGAGCUCAGGAAAGGCUCAGAGAAGGCAGCGGUGGAACGUGGCAUUUCUACUUGUCAUUUUGCUCCUCUAGGGUUUUACCUUAAGGAGAGUUAUGUCAAUGCAAGCAGUCUCACUGAGUCCUACAAUUUAGACACAUGACAAUUCAAGCACACUCCAGCUCCUGUGAAACUACAUGAGAAACGAAUAAGAAAGAAGACAGAUUACUAUUACUAGUGUAUACCCCAUCUAUUUUCUAUCUGGCAUACAUAUGGAUAUAUUACAGGCUGUUCUAUUUGUUUCUUUUGUUGUGUCAUUUUUGUUUUGUUUUGUUUUAAUUAUUUUAUUUUAUUUUAAUAUGCCUAGAGCAAAUGGAAAAUUGAAAUGUGAACAAAAGAUUUUCUACACCACUGAUGUCUGAAAAAUACUUUAUUUCUGAACUUCCCGGUGUGAAAUCAUUAUCAGGGAAGAUCGUUUGUGUGUCGAAAACUGUCAUGCUUGAUAUAGAGAAUAGCUUUUGCCACCUCCUUCCUUUUACUUGGUGUGAAUGUUGAGCAGAAGAUAGCUGACAUAAAGUUAUGAUAUUAUCAGCAUCACUUAAUUUAUUGCACUUAAUUUACGUCAUUAAUAUUUUUACUGCAUUUUGAUACUACUGCAUAUAGAAAAAAUGUAGUGGUAGAUUCAUCCAGUUCAACUUAAGCAUCCCUGCAUGUCCCAGGGAUUCAAUGCAUUCUCAUUUUGGUGUUAAACUGGAUUAAAUAGUUAAGUUUUCUUGCUAUUCUAGUACCUCUCCAGCUGGCAAGGUGUAGAAUAAUUUAUGACUCAGAGUUUUCCAGUUUUUAAGAUCACAUUUCUACAGUCUGACCAAACGAUAUGCUAGAAAGAAAAAUGGUGUGUUGACCAGAGGACCGGUAUUUGAUUUCAAGCCUUGAUGCACCAAUACUUCAGUAGGAAAUGAUCUUGAUAGGAUGACAUUUUGCAAUUUAUCCUCAGAGAGCAUGAAGAUUGUAAAUUACCAUACGUGGUGUUUACCAUUGUUUCCCACCAGUAAGCCUUGGGAAUGAAGUGCAUUUAUGAUAUUUUAUUGAUUGAUUUACUGAAGGUCACAUGUAGGAAGAGCCUGUUUUUUUUUUUUUUUUUCCCUGCAAUUGCCAUAGAUAUUAAUGAAUGCUUUAAAAGAUCACUGGCAUAAUACAUACGAUACUUAUAAGCAUGCUGUAUUAUCAUCCAAAUUUUCAGAGUUCCAAAAAUUAUGGAUGUCAGAUUAUUCUGCAUUUUUUGUAAACGUUUUCAGUAAGUGUGUAUUUCAUAAACUUAAUGGUAUCUGGGUAUCAGGAGUAUGUAAUUUCACUUGAACUUAUGUUAAGUGGUUAAGAACUGAAGGUCAUUUAUUUGAAAAUCUCUUUUUCUUUUAAUUUUCACCACAAUCGUUGUAGUUUAUGAACUAAAUGUCAUGGCUUGUUAACGAUGAUAAAAAUUAUGUAAUUUAAAACAAGGUAUGCAUUUUUUCACCAAGUUCCUAAUAGUCAGGAACUUUAUAGCAGGAAGUUCGUCUUAACCCUUAAAACUGAAUUUAUUUGAAGAGGUCAGACCGGUUUCUUGGAUUAGUCAUCUCUAAUUAAUUUAUAACUACACUAUUCCUUCUUAGAAGAAGAAGAAAAAUUCACUUUGUCUCCCUAAUCAUUAUUACGAAGACAUUUUAGAAUAUCAGGUUGGAUAUUAGGAAAAAUUUAUUCUCAGAAAGAGUAAUGAUGCACUGGCACAGGCUGCCCAGGGAGUGGUGAAGUCACUGUCCCUGGAGGUAUUAAUGGGCAUGGUGGGGAUGUGUUUGGAGUUGGGCUUGGUGAUCUUAGAGGUCUUACCAACCUUCACGAUUCUGUGAUUCUAAUACAGUUUUGUUCUUAGGAUUCUGAAAGGAAGAGCAUUCCUUAAACCUUUAAAUUCUUGCAGUGAAUUUUACUAUUGAAUUUUACAAUUGACUAUUUAACUCAUUUCUUAAUUCAAUUACAUUCUUUUCAAAUGGAUCGGUGCUAAUUGAUUAAUUUCCUUCCACAAAUACAUAAAUGAUAUAUUUUAUUUGGUAAUAAAACAAAACCACUAGAAAACUGUUUGAGAUGAAAUUGUAUUUACAGUGAGCUAUAGGCAGGGUCCUGAUGUGCCAUGAAGAAUUUAGCAACUACUCUAGGUGGGUAAAAAGGCCUCCCUUGCAAACAAAGUACUCCCAUUAGUAUUUAGAGUCGUUAGCUUUCUUGUUUUUUCUUUAUUUCUUUCUCACACUUUUGAAGCACCUUCUGGGAAAUAUUUAUGUGGAAUUACGGGGUGAGAAAAGAUCCAGUGAAGAGUGAGAAUGGUAGUGAGAAUGGAAAAGAAAACAUGAGCGUGGGUGAAGUGUGGAUGUGAAUAAGUAACUGUGCAUCUGGUUCAGCAUCACUCAAUCUUUAUCAGCCCAAUUAGUGAUCAUCUCUGUGGCAUACACCAGUACACCACAGGGUGUGUGGUUGCUAGACUGUACACUUUAUAUUGAAUUUUCUCUUCCGCUAAUUGUUUAUUGUGCUGUUUAACCUAAACAUGGCUACUAGUGUCUGUGUUUUAUUAGGGCUUUGUUAAACACUUUGAAACACCUCUGAGUACGGGCAAAGAACUUCUCUCUGCAGUCUUCAACACAUUCCUUAGAUUUCUGUAAUUCCUUUAAAGAAUGGCAUUGGUAUCACUGAUGUAUCAGGAUGGACGUCCUUCUCAGCAGCCUUCAAAAUCAGUUUCCAGGUUAAAUUUCCCUUAAGUCACUUUUUAUUCAUACAGAGGAUAUGUAUUUCUCUGAGCAUUUCAUCCACAUCUGGUUAUCACUGUUAUGCUUAAAAUCAGACAUUUGCUCAUCCUAAAUCAAUUAUUUCUAGUAGGUAUAAAACUGAAAUCCCUUUGAUAUCUGACACCAGAGUUAAAUGGAAAAGAGAGGUGUGGGUUGAAGGACUGUUAAGAGCAUUUUGAAACAGUUAAAUUGGAUUCUGUUUUGGUUAUAUGUCUCAUCUGUAUCUCAGUUCAGUUACCACUUUGUCAGUUACCACCUUAGAAGUUCUCUUGGUUUUAAACUAAAAGAAAGGAAAUUUAGGUAAGAUGGCAGGGGGAAAUCUGUCACUCAGAGAAUGGUGAGGCCUUGGCCCUGCCAAUCAAAGGGCUGUUGGUGACCCAUCCCUGGAGGUGCUCAGAGCCAGGUUAGAUGGGGCCCUGGGCAGUCUGAUUUGGUGGGACGCAACCAGCCCACAGCAAGGAGGUUGGGACUGGAUGGUCUUUGAGGUCCCUUCCAACCUAAUUCUAACCUCAUUCUAUGAUUCUGAAAGGUUUUUUCUUGUUUAUACUGUUAAAAAUGUCUAGGCUGUGAAAUGCAUACACCGUAUGAAGAAAACACUCAGCAAAUGGUAGAAAGUUGCAAAGUACGGGAAACCCUUAUUUUCUUCUCUCAGCUCUCUAGUCUGCUUUUCCCAGAAUAUGUUCCUGCUGUGAUCUUCUCCCUCCUUUCCAGAUGCUUAGAUUCAGCUUUAAAGAAAGCAUAGGAGCUGAAAGGCCAUUACUGUUCAUAAUGUACUGUCCCUACAUCUCAGCCACGAGAGCUUUCAGCAUUGACAAUCUGAAUAGUGUAGUGAAUGUAUCCAAGAAUUUGCUGCCUGCUUAGUCUAGUAAUUAAGAAUUGUAGUUAUCUGGGCUUAUAUUAAC